UGAACAUGUGAAGAAGGUAAUGAACCCUCAAUAUAUUUGUAUUCCUUACUACAAUCUUAACCUCCGUUGGAAUUUAUAUGUGAACACUACUCUGGCGAAACAAUACAUAAUGGUGCAAGUAGCAACAUCGGUCCUGCAGUUUUCCAAAUAAGUUUAGAGUUUACAUUAAUGAGUUAAAUCAACGUGCGGAGGAACUUUCAACAGAGGCUGAGGUAACAGGACAAUAUAGCUGACAAAAGAGAACAAAUACUUUUGUUCGCAAUUCCUAGAUUUGUUUUCUGUAUGUUAGCAUGGAAAGCUUAAGAAUGUGUACUUGUGUACUCUAUACUUGAUGGGAAAAGAUGGCUCACACAAAGCACAGCGGGUGUGAGUAAGUUGGUAUCAAUCAGGGCGCAGCUGCAAAUCUUGCCACUAGCUAACCUUAAAGGUUAAUCUGACCAUGCAACAUACUCAAAAGUUCCUGGGAAACUAGUUCUAGUGCGCUACAGAUACUGAUUCAAACUGUUGGCAUACAAUUUAAAUCAUGCUUGCAGGUUGGCCAACCACUGCAUAAAACACUUUAGUGGUUAUUGCUGUAACUCUGACAUCUUGCCUACAUCAUUUAAAUUAAAUAUUAAAAGGAUGAAUGAAAAGAGCACUAUUAUUAACCUCAAGUGCUGAGAGCACAAAAAAGAACAAAAAGAGCUGUCACUUGCUGUCACUUCCUGUCACCUGCUGAAAUUUCUCAUCAACCCUUUGUCUCUGUUGUCUUUGCUAAACUCUGCACACAUGUCAAUGAUCAUCUUGUUUUGUUUACUUAUUUUCAGAUAAAGAGGGAAAGAAUGGAAAACAUGAUGCCUGAGGUCCUAAGAGUCAUGUGCAGAACUGCAUCUGCUCUAAUCCAAUGAAAAUAAGGUAGUGUGAUCCUCAAGAGGAGGUAUGUGUAAUAAAUGUAUGUGCAUCAAAUCAUUAGUGAAUGUCCAUCAGCUCAAGACCUUCCUAAAUGAGGGUUGGAGCAUUAACGUGAACGCCGCUAGAACAAGAGGGCAAUCGAUCAGUCUUAAUUACAUUAUGGUAAAUGGACUGUACUUGUAUAGCGCUUUUAUUGUCUUCCGACCACUCAAAGUGCUUUAACACUACAUGACAUCAUUCACCCAUUCACACCCAUUCAUACACUGAUGACAGGAGAACAAUACACA
This is a long non-coding RNA of Gasterosteus aculeatus aculeatus (three-spined stickleback), 1178 nucleotides long. NCBI's taxonomy places the organism in Eukaryota, Metazoa, Chordata, Actinopteri, Perciformes, Gasterosteidae. The record is from Ensembl.